Non-coding RNA from Phrynosoma platyrhinos (Desert horned lizard), 72 nucleotides. The record is from the annotation of a GenBank genome assembly. Lineage: Eukaryota; Metazoa; Chordata; Lepidosauria; Squamata; Phrynosomatidae.
GCCAGUAUGGCAUAGUGGUUUGUGCGCUUGGCUACAACUCUGGAGACUAGGGUUCAAAUCAUCACUUAGCCA